AUAUUUACCUGGCAGGGGAGACACUGUGAUCACCAAGGCAGUUCUCCCAGGGCGAGGCUCACCCAUUGCACUCCGGGUGUGCUGACCCCUGCGAUUUCCCCCCCAAAAAUUAAAAAAAUAUUAUCUGUAUUUGUGCUAUAUAGGGAUUUCAAGCAAUUAUAAAGAACUUAGUCUUAU
Molecule: small nuclear RNA, 177 nt
Filed under: Leptobrachium leishanense (Leishan spiny toad)
Lineage: Eukaryota; Metazoa; Chordata; Amphibia; Anura; Megophryidae
Description: U1 spliceosomal RNA (ENSLLEG00000004128.1)
Rfam family: U1 spliceosomal RNA
About the family: U1 is a small nuclear RNA (snRNA) component of the spliceosome (involved in pre-mRNA splicing). Its 5' end forms complementary base pairs with the 5' splice junction, thus defining the 5' donor site of an intron.
Source: Rfam by way of RNAcentral